Molecule: ribosomal RNA, 232 nt
Filed under: uncultured bacterium
Lineage: Bacteria
Description: partial 16S ribosomal RNA
Rfam family: Bacterial small subunit ribosomal RNA
Source: RNAcentral
GACGAACGCUGGCGGCGUGCUUAACACAUGCAAGUCGAGCGGUAAGGCCCUUUCGGGGGUACACGAGCGGCGAACGGGUGAGUAACACGUGGGUGACCUGCCCUCAGCUCUGGGAUAAGCCCGGGAAACUGGGUCUAAUACUGGAUAUGACUCCAUGACGCAUGUUGUGGGGUGGAAAGCCUUGUGCGGCUGAGGAUGGGCCCGCGGCCUAUCAGCUUGUUGGGGGGGUGAU